GUUUGAGUGCUGGACUAGUGGUUUGAGUGCUGGACUAUGACUCUGGAGGCCAGGGUUCAAUUCCCAGCUCAGCCA
This is a non-coding RNA of Phrynosoma platyrhinos (Desert horned lizard), 75 nucleotides long. The record is from the annotation of a GenBank genome assembly. NCBI's taxonomy places the organism in Eukaryota, Metazoa, Chordata, Lepidosauria, Squamata, Phrynosomatidae.